GCAAGAGACCGCGGGGGUGGAAAAGGCCGCUCGCUCGAGAUUGCGCGCAGACCGGAUCUCACUACGUUGCCCAGGAUGGUCUUGAACUCCUGGACUCAAGCAAGCCUCUUGCCUCGGCCUCCUAAAAAGCUGGGAUGACAGGCAUGAGUCACCGUGCCCAGUCUUCAUUCUUUAAAUAUUUGGUAGAAUUCAUCAGUGAAGCCAUCUCAUCCGGGGCUUUUCUUUGUUGACAGAUUUUUUAUUACUGAUUCAAUCUCAUUCUAACUAUAGGGUUUGACUCUUUUCACCGACAAUAAUCUGGUGCCCAACAUUGGGCCUCGGAGAAGACUCAGGACCCUGAAGGAGUUGCCCAAAACUGGAGCUAAGGUACCAGCAGGAGCCCAUUGAAGCCUCACCGAAUUCGAGCUUCUCCUUCGGUGGAACUGGAUAAAAUGAGAAGAUAGCAAUCUGCAAACCAAGAAGCAGACCCUCAUCAGACACUGGCACCUUGAUUUUGGACUUCCCAGCCUCCAGAACUAAACAGGGUUUCACCAUGUUGCCCAGGCUGGUCUCCAACUCCUGAGCUCAGGCAAUCUGCCCACCUCGGCCUCCCAAAGUGCUGGGAUUACAGAACUUUACGAUCCUACAGGACUGGAUCAUAGAGCUGUGAACAUGCACUAUUCCUCAAAACAAGAGAAGAAAGAACCCAAAACCCAAAAAUGAUUUGAAGAUCAUCAGGCCACCACUCCCACCAUAGGAACAGAGGACCUAACUUGGGGAACAGGGCGGCUGCCUCUGCCUCAGUUUCAAAGAGCAGGACCAGUGCCCAAUGGAGCCAUCGGUGCAGCGCCACCUGUAGCAGCAGAGGCACAGCACUACUCAGCAGAGCCACUGAGAAUGCAACAGCAAGACAGCCGUCUACAAACCAGGAAGAGUGCCCUCGCCAGAAAAUGGAUUUGCUGGCACUUUGAUAUUGGAAUUCCCAGCCCCCAGGACUGUGAGAAAUAAAUUUCUGUCAUUUAAGCCA
This 1006-nucleotide long non-coding RNA is filed under the name Homo sapiens (human). Its description in RNAcentral is "PREDICTED lncRNA (TCONS_00088795)". Lineage: Eukaryota; Metazoa; Chordata; Mammalia; Primates; Hominidae. The record is from RNAcentral.